UGGAGAAGAGGAGAAAAAGUAUUCUAAACGUAUCAAAGGGUCAGAAACUGGUUUCCUAGAUGGUUGUUUGGAGGAAAAGAAAAGCGAGGUCUGCAGAGUGCAUCAUGGGAACAGCUGAGAGAGUCCCAGAAGUGCCCGGUUUAUGAUUCCUCCUCCUCCUCCGUCUUUUCCACUGGCAACGCAAUGGUCUCCGAUACACCUUCUGAACGGCCUCUUCUUAGAGGUGGAGUGGAAAGAGGAGCCAGGCAGCUUCCUCAGGCCCUCUUGACCUUUGAGGAGGUGGCUGUGUUUUUCACG
Podarcis muralis (Common wall lizard) is the source of this 297-nucleotide non-coding RNA. NCBI's taxonomy places the organism in Eukaryota, Metazoa, Chordata, Lepidosauria, Squamata, Lacertidae. The record is from RefSeq and is a predicted model, not a curated record.